Molecule: ribosomal RNA, 253 nt
Filed under: uncultured bacterium
Lineage: Bacteria
Description: partial 16S ribosomal RNA
Rfam family: Bacterial small subunit ribosomal RNA
Source: RNAcentral
UACGUAGGGUGCAAGCGUUAAUCGGAAUUACUGGGCGUAAAGCGUGCGCAGGCGGUCUUUUAAGACAGGUGUGAAAUCCCCGGGCUUAACCUGGGAACUGCAUUUGUGACUGAAAGGCUAGAGUACGGCAGAGGGGGAUGGAAUUCCGCGUGUAGCAGUGAAAUGCGUAGAUAUGCGGAGGAACACCGAUGGCGAAGGCAGUCCCCUGGGCCUGUACUGACGCUCAUGCGCGAAAGCGUGGGGAGCAAACAGG